RNAcentral lists this long non-coding RNA (1188 nucleotides) under Mus musculus (house mouse). Its description in RNAcentral is "long non-coding RNA chr4:139619191-139620379". Lineage: Eukaryota; Metazoa; Chordata; Mammalia; Rodentia; Muridae. The record is from RNAcentral.
ACACACACACACUCCACUAAGACUCCAAAGGAGAAAGAUGGGGAAGAGGUUUUGUCUUCCCGUUGGCAGUGUGUCUGGAAGGCAUGAACACUUUGGACUCUGUUUUAGGGGUAGAACUCAGAUGUCCUAUGAAGAGUCAAACCACUUUGACUUUAGGGUGGGAGGAGAGGGGAUGGGUUAGGGGUAAGAUGAGGUGUAACUUAAGCUAAAUGUAUUCUAUUUAUGAAGCAAGAGACUGUAUUUUUAUGAAAGGAAAAGGUUUUUAAUCUAGGGUAGGCAGUCAUGGUGGCCCAGCAUUUUGCUGUGGAUAAGAUACCGCCAUGUUCAUUGACUCCGGUGUACAAUCAACAGUAAACCCCUCUCCUCAGCUUGCCCUCCGUCCUCACUGAACGUCCGCACACAGCUGGGGCGGGAGUUUGUUGUUUCUUCUUCCCCGGCCCUCAGCUCCUUAGAAGUCUUGGAAGGGAGUGGGGAGGGAGGGUGGAAUGCAGAAAACUGAGGUGGGGGAGAGGUAGGUUCUAAUUAGUCACCCCAUCUCCCUUCUGGCCAGACCUGCUCCCAUUCAGCUGUGUGGGGAGAGUAGGAGGGAGGUUCUGUGGGGUUGGGGGACACAGGACUUCUUAGGGGCAUAGGGACUUACUAUGUCUGAAGUCGUCAGGCAGCUGGAGCAGGCAUAGAAGGGACUCAGGACACUAAGAGCUCAGCCCUGUCUGUGUCUACUCCAGGCCAAGGUCGAGCUUGGUUGUGGAUGAAGGACCAGGACUCUGUAGGGUUUCAUCAGACCUGGGUCCUCCCUCUGGGACUGACCUAGUGGGAGGAGUGGAGACGGGUCUGGGCAAAGCCAUACACACUCUGGGAAAAGAUUUCCAGGCUCAGCGUGGACUGUGUGUGAGUCUCAGGCAAACUCCUCACCUUAUGACUUCCUUCCCAAGCUCUCGAGGACAUGUGAAUUCCCCACCAUGACACGACCCCUUUCCACACACUGUAGCAUCUACCUGGUUUUUAGUCCCACCCUACCCACCGUUGCUGUGUCUGUCAGCUGGGUCUGAAAAUCACCGGGAGGGGUUUGUACUCAUCAAAGACUACUGACCCUACCAGAAAACCAACCUGUUUACUGUACUGUUGUAAAUACUGUGCCCUUUAUAUCGUGUAUAUUGGCUUCUUUGGAAUAAAGUAAAAUGUCUUAGC